Non-coding RNA from Pelodiscus sinensis (Chinese soft-shelled turtle), 3995 nucleotides. NCBI's taxonomy places the organism in Eukaryota, Metazoa, Chordata, Testudines, Trionychidae. The record is from RefSeq and is a predicted model, not a curated record.
UCAGGGCAUGGAAAAGGACUGAACAAAGAGAAAAUUAGAAGUAAGUAAAAGGGAAAAAUGAAUCUAGUUGCGUUCAAGGUAAUUUUCUUUAUUUUGUGGUUUGGUUUGAACUGCUCUGUGUGAAUCUAUGCCUCCCCUCCCCAUUUACUACCUUGCAUUGUGCCCAGAGACUUUUCUCUGUGUUUUAUUUUUUUCCUUAGUGCUCUAUAACAACUAGCAACCAAGUGUGCUUUAUCAAGUUUAUCCUUUGUUUUGUAAUAAAAUCACUUUUUUAAAGGUGAUGAUUUGAUUCUUGUGUCCUGGAAGGUCUGUCUGUGUGCAUCUGCAUGCCUCUGACUGAGGGUCAGCUACCAGAGACUGCAGCUUGUUUUUCUUUUUCCAAGCUCUUUUGGGGUAAAAGAGCUCAUGGUACCCUGGGGGGUGAUUUCAAGUGUUCACCCCUGGUUUUUAAAGGGGGAAAAAAAGCACUUGAUGGUAGCAGAGUUUCCCCAAAAUCUGUGGAUUAUGAUUCUGGGGGGAAAUUUUUGUAACCGGUGCCUGUAGAGGCAUGGUGUUGAAGCUCUCUUGCAGGCCCUCACCUUCUGCAUUCAGAGUGCCAAAGUGGGAAAAGCUUUGGCAGAUGGCCACAAAGAAAGUGACUUUUACUGAGAGAAGUGAAAGUGAACAAGUCACCAUUGGUUCAAAGUGAUGAUCAGUCAAGUUGGUAAAGAGAAGAUUCAGAACCCAGAAUUCAGAACCCAGAACUGUUGAAUGCUUUGCAAAACUUUUUUGUAGUCAGGUGAAUAAAAUGUGUGUGCCCAUCUAUUUGAGAACGCUCAAUUGAGAUAGCCACCAAGUGAAUUUUCACUGAUGAGUUUGAGAGGCUCUUCUUCAAGAAAAGAAGGUAAUCUAGCACUUUCAGGAGCGGUGCUAAGCAAGGUGAUAGUGUAUUGUGAGUGUCCCAAAUAAUAAAACAUUGUCAUUUUUGAGGGCAUGUUUUCCUGGUGCUCACUUUGUGACUGUUCAUGAUUAAGUGACGGACCUUUAAGAGUUGGAUGUGAUCUCCCUUGAAGGAGCCAGGCUUUGAGAUGUAACCUCUGAAAUGUCUGGGUGGAGAAUUCAGCCCUUGUCCUCUGAUAGGAGAUUUGGGAGUUGUGCAAGAUGAACCAGGGGGCGGGGGAUUGCGGGGAGAUGGAAGUGGGAGAGACAUCUGCAAUAGGUAAGGAAACCAGGCUUGUCCGGGCCAUUCUGGUGCUACCAAUAUGACUUGGGCCUUGUACGGUUUUAUUUUUGGGUGACCUGGUUGAGUAGUUGUAGGGGCGGAAACGUUUGUCCGCCCAAUUGAACAACAGGGCGUCGGCCAGAGAGUUCUUGCCCAGACCUGCUCUGGAGCAGUACUUGGGGCAUUUUGCAUUGCGAAAGUGGUGAACAAGUCUAUGUCUAGAAAGCCCCACUUCUGGGCUAUGGUAUGCAAGACUUGUGGAUGGAUCUUCCACUCAUAUUUCUGAUGAAAGUUUCUGUUGAGAUGGUCUGCCAUCAUAUUUUGUUUUCCUAGGAGAUAAGACUGCUGAGAUGUUCAUGUGAUGCUCAAUGUAUCAAUACCACAAGGCCGUGGCUUCCUUGAAAAAAUGCAAAAUAUCUGGGGACUGAGCUAUCCAUUUAAACAAGUCCUGAAACUACUUCAGGUUGUCUGCAGGUGGAGAGGAUGAUGAAGGAAAGGCAGCCUCAUCUGAACAAGAGGAACACUGUGCCACCGAAGAGGAACUGUCCGAAUCAGAGUAAGGCAGAAAGGAAAGCACUCCUGCGACUCCAUCUUCUGCUGAGGAUGGCAGAAAAGGAACUGAGGGGGACCCGCACUGCGUGCACAGCUAACGGGCAGAAACAGUGCAAGACGGCAGCUGCGUUUGUGCAAUAUGGGAAGGCACUAUUAGAUAAAAAUCUCUGAUCGCUAGUGCCAGGACACCGCAAAAUCUGAGUGGAGUACCCACAGGGACACCACUGGAAGGAGAAAUGACCAACAGAGUCAACAACCAAUGUUGAGGAGGCCUUGUUGGUACUAUUAUUAUAAAGUUAGCACAGUCUUGCUCAACUUUGGACAAGACCUUGGCAGGGACAGAAUUGGAAAUAUUUGUCGUUCCUUUUUAACCAUGACCCACCUAGGAACAAAAAAAUAUUGUUUUCAUCUGGUUACAAACACGUCUACUUGGAAAGUUCCCCACUGUUACUAAAAGACCUUGGAGACAUCUGGACAAACAGAUCACUUGCUGUGACCUGCAAACAAUUUGGUCAGAUGGUCUGCCAGAAUGUUUUGGAUCUCUGGAAGUGUCCUGUAGGUGAAUGUACAGCAGUAGCUCGCGAAUGGAGGAGGGUUCGGAGCUAGCGUGCCGUAGCUGAGGAUAACACUGCUGUCGCCACCGUGGAAUCAGGUAUUAACAGGUUCGGGAUGGCGUAAUGCGUGGCGAAGGUUAGGUCGGAAGACCACGUAGCAGCUAUGCAGAUAUCUAUCAAGGGGACUCCCUUGAGGAAUGCAGGGGACGUAGCGACUGCCCGAGUCGAGUGGGCCCUCAGGGUUGAGGGCAGUGGUUUCUUACGUAGUUCAUAACAGGACCUUAUGCACUGUACGAUAGUAGAGGAGAUGCGUUGAGCGGACAAUGGGCGACCUUUAGAACGGUCCGUCAUUGAUAUUAAUAACGAGUCCGUCACUCGAAAGGGUCUGGUCCUCUCGAUAUAAAAGGUGAGGGCCCGUCUGACGUCUAAAGUGUGCAAGCGUGCGUGUUCUGGUGACGCAUGUGGUUUGGGAUGGAAUAUAGGGAGGAUUAUAGGCUCGUUGAUGUGAAAUCGAGAGAUCACUUUGGGGCGAAAACGUGGUUGCGUUCGGAGUAUUACUGCUUGGUGCGUAAAAAUUGUAUAAGGAGGGGAAGCUGAUAGUGCAGCUAGCUCACUCACUCUCCUCGCGGAAGUAAUAGCCAAUAAGAAAAUAACCUUCAUGGACAGGUCAUAUAAAGUGCAGGUCGCUAGCGGUUCGAAGGUCUGGCUGUUAGGGAAUUGAGAACUAUUUCAAGGUCCCAAGGAUCCGCUGGUUGAGUAUAGUGCGGGUACAGGUUGGACAUUCCCUUCAAGAACCUUUUAGUUGUUGGAUGGGAAAAUACUGAACAUCCGUUGACCGGCUGGUGAAAGGCUGCAAUUGCAGCGACAUGAACUCUGAUGGAAGCGCAGGUGAGGCCUGAAUUCUUGAGGUGUACCAGGUAGUCUAGGAUACACCGCAGAGAUGAGGAGACCGGGUUCAGAUCCUUCUGGGAACACCACGAUGAGAAGCGUGACCAUUUGGAAAGGUAAGCAGUCCAUGUAGAUAGUUUUCCGUAGAUAAUUUUCUACUGUUUAGUAAAAUGUGUUUGACAGAUUGUGAGCAUAACACUUCUGACUGUUGGAACCAACUAGGUACCAAGCCGUGAGCACGAGAUGGUUCACCUGCGGAUGGAGAAGGGAGCGAUGAUUCUGGGAUAGGAGAUCGUGUCGAGCUGGCAGAGGAAACGGAGGAUGCAUCGACAUGCGAUGUAGGUAUGGAUACCAUGUUUGCCUGGGCCAGACUGAGGCUAUUAGGAUUACUGUGGCCUUUUCUCGAAUAAUUUUCUCCACUACCCUGGAAUUAGGGGUGUGGGUGGGAAUGCAUAAAGUAGGUGACGUCCCCCGUUGUAUAGGAAAGCGUCGCCUUUCGAAUUUCGUCCAAUCCCCGCUCUCGAGCAAUACCGAGGACAUUUCGCAUUGUGAGAAGUGGCAAAGAGGUCCACUAGCGGGAAACCCCAUAGUUGAAAUAUUAUCGAAAGCACUGCAGGAUGUAGCUCCCACUCGUGAUUGAGAGAAAAGUGCCUGCUAAGGGCGUCUGCCGUUACAUUGUGCUGGCCCGGGAGGUAUUCUGCGAUUAGAAAGACGUUGUGUUGAUUGCACAUGUUCCAUAGACGUACCGCUUCCGCGCACAAGAAGUGGGACCUGGCGCCUCCUUGCUUGUUUAUAUAAUA